This 1903-nucleotide ribosomal RNA is filed under the name Lysobacterales bacterium. RNAcentral's name for it is "partial 23S ribosomal RNA". It matches the Rfam family "Bacterial large subunit ribosomal RNA", at positions 1 to 1945 of the family's 2925-position model. Lineage: Bacteria; Pseudomonadati; Pseudomonadota; Gammaproteobacteria; Lysobacterales. The record is from RNAcentral.
GGUCAAGUGACAAAGCGCAUACGGUGGAUGCCUUGGCGGUCAGAGGCGAUGAAGGACGUGGCAGCCUGCGAUAAGUGUCGGGGAGUCGGCAGCAGACUUUGAUCCGGCAAUGUCCGAAUGGGGAAACCCACCGCGCAAGCGGUAUCCAGUACUGAAUUCAUAGGUGCUGGAAGCGAACCCGGAGAACUGAAAUAUCUCAGUACCCGGAGGAAAAGAAAUCAACCGAGAUUCCCCCAGUAGCGACGAGCGAACGGGGACCAGCCCAAAAGCAAGCAAUGUUCUAGUUGAACGCUCUGGAAAGUGCGGCCAUAGACGGUGACAGCCCGGUACGCGAAAGGGCACUGCUUGUGAAAUUGAGUAGGACGGGGCACGUGAAACCCUGUCUGAACAUGGGGGGACCAUCCUCCAAGGCUAAAUACUACUGACCGACCGAUAGCGAACCAGUACCGUGAGGGAAAGGCGAAAAGAACCCCGGAGAGGGGAGUGAAAUAGAACCUGAAACCGUAUGUGUACAAGCAGUGGAAGCCCGCAAGGGCGACUGCGUACCUUUUGUAUAAUGGGUCAGCGACUUAUUGUCUGUGGCAAGCUUAACCGUAUAGGGGAGGCGAAGGGAAACCGAGUCCGAACAGGGCGCAUAGUCGCAGGCAGUAGACCCGAAACCGAGUGAUCUAUCCAUGGCCAGGUUGAAGGUGCGGUAACACGCACUGGAGGACCGAACCCACGCCCGUUGAAAAGGUCGGGGAUGAGCUGUGGAUAGGAGUGAAAGGCUAAUCAAACUCGGAGAUAGCUGGUUCUCCUCGAAAGCUAUUUAGGUAGCGCCUCGUAUGUAUCUUCCUGGGGGUAGAGCACUGUUAUGGCUAGCGGGUCAUCGCGACUUAGCAAACCAUUGCAAACUCCGAAUACCAGGACAGACUGUACGGGAGACACACGGCGGGUGCUAACGUCCGUCGUGAAAAGGGAAACAACCCAGACCCGCAGCUAAGGUCCCAAAGUUCUAGCUAAGUGGAAAACGAUGUGGAAAGGCAUAGACAGCCAGGAGGUUGGCUUAGAAGCAGCCAUCCUUUAAAGAAAGCGUAAUAGCUCACUGGUCGAGUCGGUCUGCGCGGAAGAUUUAACGGGGCUAAGCUAGGCACCGAAGCUCGGGGUGCAAAGUUCUUCGGAAUUUUGCGCGGUAGAGGAGCGUUCCGUAAGCCUGCGAAGGUGUACUGAAAAGUAUGCUGGAGGUAUCGGAAGUGCGAAUGCUGACAUGAGUAACGAUAAUGCGGGUGAAAAGCCCGCACGCCGAAAGCCUAAGGUUUCCUUGCGCAACGUUAAUCGGCGCAGGGUGAGUCGGCCCCUAAGGCGAGGCAGAAAUGCGUAGUCGAUGGGAAGCCGGUUAAUAUUCCGGCACCUCGCUGCAGUGCGAUGGGGGGACGGAGAAGGUUAGGUUUACCGGGCGUUGGUUGUCCCGGGGAAAGGAGGUAGGCGUGGACUUUUGGCAAAUCCGGAGUCCUCUACGCCGAGCACCGAGACGAGUCCUCUUUUGGACGAAGUAACCGAUACCACGCUUCCAGGAAAAGCCCCUAAGCUUCAGCUGCAGAAGACCGUACCGUAAUCCGACACAGGUAGGCAGGGAGAGAAUCCCAAGGCGCUUGAGAGAACUCGGGUGAAGGAACUAGACAAAAUGGUACCGUAACUUCGGGAGAAGGUACGCCCCAUCGCGUGGUCACGUGCGUGACUGAGCGUGGUGGGGUCGCAGUGACCAGGCCGCUGCAACUGUUUAUCAAAAACACAGCACUCUGCAAACACGAAAGUGGACGUAUAGGGUGUGACGCCUGCCCGGUGCCGGAAGGUUAAUUGAUGGGGUCAGCCGCAAGGCGAAGCUCUUGAUCGAAGCCCCGGUAAACGGCGGCCGUAACUAUAA